The sequence is a ribosomal RNA, 402 nucleotides long. It matches the Rfam family "Bacterial small subunit ribosomal RNA", at positions 355 to 774 of the family's 1533-position model.
UGGGGGAUAUUGCACAAUGGGCGAAAGCCUGAUGCAGCGAUGCCGCGUGGGGGAAGAAGGUUUUCGGAUUGUAAACCCCUGUCCUCUAGGACGAAAAUGACGGUACUAGAGAAGGAAGCUCCGGCUAACUACGUGCCAGCAGCCGCGGUAAUACGUAGGGAGCGAGCGUUGUCCGGAAUUACUGGGUGUAAAGGGAGUGUAGGCGGGACUGCAAGUCAGGCGUGAAAUCUACGGGCUUAACUCGUAGACUGCGUUUGAAACUGUGGUUCUUGAGUGAAGUAGAGGAUGGCGGAAUUCCUAGUGUAGCGGUGAAAUGCGUAGAUAUUAGGAGGAACACCAGUGGCGAAGGCGGCCAUCUGGGCUUUUACUGACGCUGAGGCUCGAAAGCGUGGGGAGCAAACA